AUGGCGGCGACUCCAGCACUCUCGAUCUUCCUGCUCUUGGUGGAAGCGUCAUCGGCUGCAGGUAGCAGCUGGUGCGUGUGCAAACCAGAGCUGCCGGCGGCGGCGCUGCAGAGGACGCUGGACUACGCGUGUGGCCACGGCGCCGACUGCGCCCCGCUGCUCCCCGGCAGGCAGUGCCACACCGACACGGACACGGUGGCGCUGGACUACGCGUGCGGCCACGGCGCCGACUGCGCCCCGCUACUCCCCGGCAGGCAGUGCCACACCGACACGGACACGGUGGCGACGCGCUGCUCCUAUGCCACCAACAGGCAACAGCUACUACCACAACGCCAUGGCCAAGGCCAGCGGCGCCCUCACCUCCACAGACCCAAGCUCCGGAAGCUGCCAAUACCCUGCGUCGGCUAG
Molecule: ribosomal RNA, 408 nt
Filed under: Triticum aestivum (bread wheat)
Lineage: Eukaryota; Viridiplantae; Streptophyta; Magnoliopsida; Poales; Poaceae
Description: partial small subunit ribosomal RNA
Source: RNAcentral